RNAcentral lists this transfer RNA (69 nucleotides) under Telmatherina celebensis (Celebes rainbow). RNAcentral's name for it is "tRNA-Pro". It matches the Rfam family "tRNA". From Rfam's summary of the family: Transfer RNA (tRNA) molecules are approximately 80 nucleotides in length. Their secondary structure includes four short double-helical elements and three loops (D, anti-codon, and T loops). Lineage: Eukaryota; Metazoa; Chordata; Actinopteri; Atheriniformes; Telmatherinidae. The record is from RNAcentral.
CAAAGAAUAGUUUAAGUAGAAUACUAGCCCUGGGAGCUAGUGGCAGGGGUUAGAACCCCUUUUCUUUGA